RNAcentral lists this ribosomal RNA (492 nucleotides) under uncultured bacterium. Its description in RNAcentral is "partial 16S ribosomal RNA". It matches the Rfam family "Bacterial small subunit ribosomal RNA", at positions 29 to 507 of the family's 1533-position model. The record is from RNAcentral.
AGUGAACGCUGGCGGUAGGCCUAACACAUGCAAGUCGAACGGCAGCACAGUAAGAGCUUGCUCUUACGGGUGGCGAGUGGCGGACGGGUGAGGAAUACAUCGGAAUCUACUUUUUCGUGGGGGAUAACGUAGGGAAACUUACGCUAAUACCGCAUACGACCUACGGGUGAAAGCAGGGGAUCUUCGGACCUUGCGCGAUUGAAUGAGCCGAUGUCGGAUUAGCUAGUUGGCGGGGUACAGGCCCACCAAGGCGACGAUCCGUAGCUGGUCUGAGAGGAUGAGCAGCCACACUGGAACUGAGACACGGUCCAGACUCCUACGGGAGGCAGCAGUGGGGAAUAUUGGACAAUGGGCGCAAGCCUGAUCCAGCCAUACCGCGUGGGUGAAGAAGGCCUUCGGGUUGUAAAGCCCUUUUGUUGGGAAAGAAAAGCAGCAGGUUAAUACCCCGCUGUUCUGACGGUACCCAAAGAAUAAGCACCGGCUAACUUCGUG